This 237-nucleotide transfer-messenger RNA is filed under the name Burkholderiales bacterium. RNAcentral's name for it is "partial transfer-messenger RNA". It matches the Rfam family "transfer-messenger RNA", at positions 131 to 374 of the family's 374-position model. Rfam says of the family: Bacterial tmRNA, also known as 10Sa RNA or SsrA, is named for its dual tRNA and mRNA-like properties. Its role is to liberate the mRNA from a stalled ribosome. Lineage: Bacteria; Pseudomonadati; Pseudomonadota; Betaproteobacteria; Burkholderiales. The record is from RNAcentral.
ACCGGCUGAACUCUGCACCGGUGGGCCUCAACGCCGGGCUUAGCAAUAAGCAGCAGAGUCAUUAACGAGGAUCGCGUUGCAUUGGGUCACUUAAUGCAGCGUUAAAACCAAGGUGGCUCGCCUGGUCACAGCCCGCCGGUUGGCGUUGGCCAGGUAAAAUUAAAUAACCUGGCUAAGUAUGUAGAACUGUCUGUAGAGCACUUUUGGACGCGGGUUCGAAACCCGCCGCCUCCACCA